GGGCCUUUAGCUCAGUUGGUUAGAGCAACCGGCUCAUAACCGGUAGGUCUAGGGUUCGAGUCCCUGAAGGCCCACCA
This 77-nucleotide transfer RNA is filed under the name Oscillospiraceae bacterium. RNAcentral describes it as "tRNA-Ile". It matches the Rfam family "tRNA". From Rfam's summary of the family: Transfer RNA (tRNA) molecules are approximately 80 nucleotides in length. Their secondary structure includes four short double-helical elements and three loops (D, anti-codon, and T loops). The record is from RNAcentral. Lineage: Bacteria; Bacillati; Bacillota; Clostridia; Eubacteriales; Oscillospiraceae. RNAcentral also lists the same sequence under 1 other name.